AGCAGCCGCGGUAAUUCCAGCUCCAAUAGUGUAUAUUAAAGUUGCUGCAGUUAAAAAGCUCGUAGUUGAAUUUCGGGACUAAUAUGUUGGUCGUGCCUCGGUACGUACUGAUAUUUUUGGUUUCUCCCUUCUGACGAACCUUGAUGUCAUUAAUUUGGUGUCUUGGGAAAUCAGGACUGUUACUUUGAAAAAAUUAGAGUGUUUAAAGCAGGCUCACGCUUGAAUACAUUAGCAUGGAAUAAUGAAAUAGGACGUUUGAUUCUAUUUUGUUGGUUUCUAGGAUCGACGUAAUGAUUAAUAGGGACAGUUGGGGGCAUUAGUAUUCAAUUGUCAGAGGUGAAAUUCUUGGAUUUAUUGAAGACUAACUACUGCGAAAGCAUUUGCCAAGGAUGUUUUCAUUAAUCAAGAACGAAAGUUAGGGGAUCGAAGACGAUCAGAUACCGUCGUAGUCUUAACCAUAAACUAUGCCGACUAGGGAUCGGAUGAUGUUAAUUUUUUAAUGACUCAUUCGGCGCCUUAC
This 520-nucleotide ribosomal RNA is filed under the name uncultured Glomus. Its description in RNAcentral is "SSU rRNA". It matches the Rfam family "Eukaryotic small subunit ribosomal RNA", at positions 569 to 1091 of the family's 1831-position model. The record is from RNAcentral. Lineage: Eukaryota; Fungi; Glomeromycota; Glomeromycetes; Glomerales; Glomeraceae.